UUAGUAGAGAAAUUUGAAUAG
This is a non-coding RNA of Caenorhabditis elegans, 21 nucleotides long. NCBI's taxonomy places the organism in Eukaryota, Metazoa, Nematoda, Chromadorea, Rhabditida, Rhabditidae. The record is from Ensembl.